Molecule: ribosomal RNA, 653 nt
Filed under: Antennella secundaria
Lineage: Eukaryota; Metazoa; Cnidaria; Hydrozoa; Leptothecata; Halopterididae
Description: partial 16S ribosomal RNA
Rfam family: Bacterial large subunit ribosomal RNA
Source: RNAcentral
UUCGACUGUUUACCAAAAACAUAGCUUUUUUCAAUAUAAAAAGUGUAAUCUGCCCAGUGAUUACAGGUUUAUGAUAAUAAACUAUUAAAUUGUAAUUAAACGGCCGCUGUAUUCUUGACGGUGAUAAUGUAGGAAAAUAAUUAGUCAAUUAAUUGUUGAACGUAGAUGAAUGAUUGAACGAAGUUUCCACUGUCUUAUUUAUAACAUUUUAAAAUUAAUAUAAUAGUGAAGAAGCUAUUUAAAAUUGUAAGACGAAAAGACCCUGUAAAGCUUGACUAUUAAAUCUAUAAUUGAUUCUGGUAUAACUGAAACUAUACCAGAAUUAAACUUAUGAAUUAGGUAGUUUGGUUGGGGCAACAACAUUUUAAAAUCAAAAAAUGUAUAUUUAAUAAUAACAAAAUUUAUUGUUUAAUUUAUAAAUUUAACAAUUAUAAUUUAGAUAUAAUGAUCUAUCUUAGAAUACAAACAGCUUAUAAGAUAAUAAAUAAAUAAAAGCUACUUCAGGGAUAACAGGUUAAUUUUAUUUAAGAGAUGAUAUUAAAAAUAAAGUUUGACACCUCGAUGUUGAAUUAAGUUAUCCUAGUGUUGCAGCAGUUACUAAGGGUUGGUCUGUUCGACCAUUAAAAACUUACAUGAUUUGAGUUCAUUCCGUA